Molecule: long non-coding RNA, 1615 nt
Organism: Bos indicus x Bos taurus (hybrid cattle)
Lineage: Eukaryota; Metazoa; Chordata; Mammalia; Artiodactyla; Bovidae
Source: Ensembl
AGAGUCCAUAUUGUACAGAAGAAUUGGUCUUCCAGGCCACUUCCUGGACUGACCCACACUGCUCUCCAUCAAAUUCUCAGGUCUGAUUAGGGUUGGCAACACCAUCCCUCAUAGUUUCGUAUAUCAGAUUCAGUCUUUUCUAGUUGCAUGUGACCUCCUAUUUAAGGGGGAGGAGUAAAAUUUCUCCUUAGAUGUAUGUGUAGUCAUUCGUGUCCUACUCUCUGUGACCCCGUGGACUGUAGCCCCACCAGUCUCCUCUGUCCAUGGAAUUCUCCAGGCAGGAAUACUGGAGGGGGUCGCCAUGCCCUCCUCCAGGGGAUCUUCCCCACCCAGGGAUCGAACCCGCGUCUCCUGUGUCUCCUGCGUUGCAGGCGGGUUCUUUCCCCACUGAACCAUCGGGGAAGCCCUGCGGCAGAAAAGCAGGUCUCUGUGGAGGGCCGGUCUCUCACAUCUUCGUGGCCGGAAAAUCACGGCAGGAAACCCGCAGUGUUUUGCCGGGACCAAGGGAUUUGGGCACAGACCGACCUACCUGAAGUCUACCAAAACCCUCUUGAAGAAAGAUCCCUUGCCGUCGUGUCUGGGACUUCUGCCAUCGAGCUCCUCCCGCUCCUCUUCCUCCUCUUCUUUUUCAUCUGCCUGUGCUGCUGUGGAGGCCAACAGGGUUCCACUGAUAAUGAGACCAAGAGCCAACCGGAUUUUAACAGCUCUAACCCUGGCAUGGACUUCUCAGAAGAAAAUCCCGACGAUGUCUCGGUGCACCUCCCACCAGAGGAGGACAGGCAGAGGGACAUGCAGGUCCACCCCGAGGAAUGCCCAUGGGGCUCUUCUGAGUCCUCCGCUGAGCCACACCAGGAUUCCUUCAUGGAGAGUGAGGUUUCACUCCCAUCUUGCAGCCCUGAGGACUCCUCAGUAUAGCCCCGCAUGGACCCGCCUUCACUUCAUCCAGAGAGCGGAGCUGGAGCUGGCUGUGUGCCCUCCAUGGCGCAAGGGCCCCUUAAGGAGUGUGCGGAUUCUUUUACCACUGCUCCACCUGGGAAGCCCCAGUCCUCACUUUGGAGCUCCCCGAAGACUCAAGAAUACAGAAGCCUUGUCAGUCGUCAAGAAAUUCUGGGAUAUGAGAGAUGGAACUUUUCCUGCCAUAUCAGUGAACAAAGGGUAUCACAGUCAUGGGCGAUGACGGCCACCACGGCUGCUGAGCUGGUGAGCCCUGAGGGUGCUCAGGAAGGAAAGAACACAGCCAUCUAGCAGCCAUCAGACUGCGGCCACCACUGAGGGUGAGCUCGGAGGGAACUUGGGACGUGAAAACAGCAGGAUCCUGGCCCCAGACAGCUGAGGCGCGCAUCGAAGUGAUGAUUUCAGCGAGCCCGGACGCUUCCAUCUUCCCAUACGUAGAAAAGCGCUAAAUUCUCUAACUUGGGAUAGUUGGUUUUCUUUAAUUGGCGGUAGCGUUCGAGGUUCAGAUUAUCUGCCUUUUGUUGCGAAGCUUCUUUAUUACCUGGCUCCUCCCCUCGCCUCCUCUGAGCAGUUCUCUCGGGGUUACUUGAGAUGCUGCCUCCCGGGCUUGAGUCCUAAGAAUAUCUGACAAAUAAAACAUAACUCUCAACGUUUAGGUUGC